RNAcentral lists this long non-coding RNA (1007 nucleotides) under Phascolarctos cinereus (koala). RNAcentral's name for it is "lncRNA (ENSPCIG00000030889.1)". The record is from RNAcentral. Lineage: Eukaryota; Metazoa; Chordata; Mammalia; Diprotodontia; Phascolarctidae.
CUCCACCCAAAGGCUCCUUUCUCCAUAUCUGGUGGUCUUUCCACUGCCUUUUAUGACGACUGAAAACCCAGAAAGUCCAGAUGACUCUAGGAGAGUGAAACAGAUUCAUUCACUCAACAAAUAAAUGAGUUACAGACUUUGGGUACUGAGAGCAAGAAUGAGAAAGCAGGAAAAUGAGUAAGCAUGAAAUGGAAAAGAGAUGAAAAAAAGAAGACAGGAACAAAACAGGAGAUUGAGAGUCUCUGAGAACUACUGUAAGAGAAACUGAGUCAGGAAGCUUUUGAAAGUGGGAACUGGCUGAGGGAAGAUUCCAAGGAUGGAUGAACACAGAGCUACAGGGACUGAAGAGGUUCCGCGGGAAGGUAGGACUCACCAAAAUGGAGGACUAUUGUUGCCCCGCCAGCUGCAGAAGCGGAUUUGUUUUCUGAAAUACCCAAUACAAUGGCUGCAUCUAACAGCGUAUGUGUCUAACAUCCUGCCCUCUUGUAUCCUGUCUCUCUGCCAGGGAGAUGGAGGUAUUUGUCAUUAUCUGUUCUCUAGGAUCAAUUUUGGCUUUUACGAUUUCUCAUGGUCCAACAAAUCCUGCCUCAGACACUUACUAACUGUAUAACCUUAGGUUAGCCACUUAACUCUUCUCCGCCUCAGUUUGCUCAAAUGUCAAAUAGGAAUAGUAGCAUCAUCUCCAUAGAGGGUCUGUGAAGAUUAAAUGAGAUAACAUAUGUAAAGAACUUCACAAAUCUAAAGAGUUGAAUGAAUGCUAGCUAUUAUUAUCAUCUUCUUCUUCAUUAUCAUCAUCAGCUAGGUGACAUGGUAAAAAGAAUGCGAGAUUUGGAAUGAGGAUGUGUUGGGCAAAUCACUUAAACUUUAACUCAGUUUUCUCAUCUGUAAUAUGGGAAUAAGAAUAGUACCUCUCUCCCAAGGUGGUUGUAUCUCAAAUGAGAUAAUAUUUGUAAAGUGCUUUGCAAACCUUAAAGCUCCCUAUAUUUUCUAUCUAUGAUGAUAACAGC